Bos taurus (domestic cattle) is the source of this 973-nucleotide long non-coding RNA. Lineage: Eukaryota; Metazoa; Chordata; Mammalia; Artiodactyla; Bovidae. The record is from Ensembl.
GUGAGCACAGUUGAGGAACAGCAGGGCCCUGAUAAGUGAUCAAAGACAGCUGACCUCUGCUUUCUCAGCGAUACAGUCUAAGACAGCAGGAAAGGGAACCCUUGAACCAUUACCGUGACUUGGUGGAGGAAAAUUCUCUAUAGGGAUCAAUCAACAAGUUGCUCUAAAAGAGGCAGAAGCACCACUCUGAAAUUCUUUAGUUCCUUAAAAUCCCCAUCCCCCCUCCUUUUUGCACAAGUAGUUCCCUCUGCCUGGAAGACUCUCUCCUUCCUAUCCUAUCUUACCUCUUAAAAUGCCUUUUAGUUUAGCCACUGAUCCUUUACACUUCAGCCCACCAUCACUUCUUGUAAGGCUUCUCUGACUUCUGCCUGUCUUCCCUCCCCGGAAACUUUGGGAGAUGCUGUCGCUCUGUACAACUGCAGCCCCUCAGACUCCCUCUCCCACAGCUCCAGAUAUUGCUAUAGUUGUCUAUUGAGUGGUCUGUCUUCCCUUACAGACAGUGCAGUGGUAAACUCAGGAGUCGUCUUUGCAUUUUACAGCUGUGGCAUCUGAGGCACACUCAGGGCUCAGUUCCUCAUCCACAGAAUGGUCUUGGUUGCAGCAUGCGGGACCUCUUAGUUGAGCAACGUGGGAUCAAGUUCCCUGAUCAGAGAUUGAAACCUGGGCUCCCUCACUGGGGAUGCAGAGACUUAGGUUCUAGACCACCAGGGAAGUCCCUGCAGGACCACUUUCAAACAGUCCACAGGAUAGUUCUUGAACCUCAGUGAUCAUCAAAGCUACCCGCAGAGAUUCUUAUUUAAUUGGGAUUUUAAGUAAUUUUGAGUGAGGAUUUAACCCUUAGUUUCCUCAUAUGAAAAACGGGAUUAUAACUAUAAUCCUUCAUAGGGGGUAAGGAUUAAAAUAACCUCUGUGAAGUGUCUCACAGUCAACUUAGGUUCCGUUUGCUUCUCUCAUUUUCUCUACAGUUUAGAGG